Molecule: non-coding RNA, 106 nt
Organism: Xylaria scruposa
Lineage: Eukaryota; Fungi; Ascomycota; Sordariomycetes; Xylariales; Xylariaceae
Source: the annotation of a GenBank genome assembly
GGGCCUGUAGCUCAGGGGUAGAGCGCUCGCUUUGCAUCCACCCAACAGACUUCCUUGAAGGGCGCGAAAAUGCGAGAGGCCUAGGGUUCAAAUCCCUACCGGUCCA